ACUUAACACAUGACGAAGUCGAACGGUGAACCAGAGUCUUGCUCGUAGGGAUCAGUGGCGAACGGGUGAGUAACACGUGGGCAACCUGCCCCAGACUCUGGGAUAACCUCGGGAAACCGAUGCUAAUACCGGAUACGACCACUUCGGACAUCCGACGGUGGUGGAAAGUUUUCGGUCUGGGAUGGGCCCGCGGCCUAUCAGCUAGUUGGUGGGGUAAUGGCCUACCAAGGCGACGACGGGUAGCCGGCCUGAGAGGGCGACCGGCCACACUGGAACUGAGACACGGUCCAGACUCCUACGGGAGGCAGCAGUGGGGAAUAUUGCACAAUGGGCGAAAGCCUGAUGCAGCGACGCCGCGUGAGGGACGACGGCCUUCGGGUUGUAAACCUCUUUCAGCAGGGACGAAGCGAAAGUGACUGUACCUGCAGAAGAAGCACCGGCUAACUACGUG
Molecule: ribosomal RNA, 451 nt
Filed under: uncultured bacterium
Lineage: Bacteria
Description: bacterial SSU rRNA
Rfam family: Bacterial small subunit ribosomal RNA
Source: RNAcentral